AGAGAGCAGCAAAAGGGCGUACGGUGGAUGCCUAGACACGAAAAGCCGAUGAAGGACGUAGCAGCCUGCGAAAAGCUUCGGGGAGGUGGCAAGCAACCUUUGAUCCGGAGAUGUCCGAAUGGGGAAACCCGGCUGCCUGUUGAGGGCAGUCACAAUCCAGGGUGACCUGGUGCGUGGGAACCCGCUGAAGUGAAACAUCUCAGUAAGCGGAGGAAAAGAGAGAAACAAUGCCAUUAGUUCAGGGUAUUGGAUCGGCCGAUUUCGGUCGGUGGAAACACGUCCUGAACUAUUGGCUACGAUUCCCCCAGUAGCGGCGAGCGAACAGGGAACAGCCCAAACUCAUGGUUGUGGUUUGGCGCACCGAGCUAGAAUGGCAACAUUCCUGCCACGGGCGCCCAAAUAAAGGUGCCGGCCGUUGCACCAUGAGGGUUGUACGUAGUCCGCUAGGAACACCGGUGAUGUUCCAGCGAGUCAAAAAAGUUGGACCAUAGCAAAACGAUCUGGAAAGGUCGACCACAGAAGGUGACAGUCCUGUAUGUGAAAUGCUCCAACUCUUCGCGCGGACUUAACGUGAGUAAUGCGGGACUCGUGAAAUCCCGUAUGAAUCAGCGACGACUAUGUCGCAAGGCUAAAUACUUUUCGUGAUCGAUAGUGAACUAGUACCGUGAGGGAAAGGUUAAAAGCAGCCCGGGAGGGCGAUGAAAUAGUAUCUGAAACCGUACGCUUACAAGGAGUCGGAGCCCCAAUUCGUAGCAAUACGGAGGGGGUCACGGCGUUCCUAUUGAAGAAUGAGCCAACGAGUUGGAUGUGUGUCGCUCAGGUUAAGUCCCCGAGGGGACGGAGCCGCAGUGAAAGCGAGCCUUAACGGGCGUAGCUGACUACCAUCAACUCUGUCGAUCGCGCAAGCGGUGGACAGGGAGAUGGAAGCCAGCAGGUGGCACGCACCAGACCCGAAACCCAGUGAGCUAGCCAUGGCCAGGUUGAACCAGGGGUAAGACCCUGGGGAGGACCGAACCCGUCAGUCGUGUAACGCUGUGGGAUGAGCUGUGGUUAGAGGUGAAAUGCCAAUCGAACUGGGUGAUAGUUGGUUCUCCGCGAAAUAGCUUUAGGGCUAGCGUCGGUUUAGAAGUACACGGGGGUAGAGCACUGAAUGGGGGCACCGGGAGCAAUCUUAGGUCCCUCAACCAAACUCCGAAUACCGUGUGUGGAUUUCCGGCAGUCAGACUAUGGGGGCUAAGCUCCAUCAGUCGUAAGGGAAACAGCCCAGACCUCAGACUAAGGUCCCUAAGUUUCAGCUAAGUGUGAAAGGCGGUGGAUUGUCUUAUACAACCAGGAGGUUGGCUUAGAAGCAGCCAUCCUUCAAAGAAAGCGUAACAGCUCACUGGUCAAGAUGAUCUGCGCCGAAAAUUUACCGGGGCUAAGCUGGACACCGAAGUCGGGGAUCUCGCAGUAAUGCGGGGUGGUAGCGGAGCGUUCUCAUCUGGCUGAAGCCGGACCCGUGAGGGCCGGUGGACGGAUGAGAAGUGAGAAUGUUGGCAUAAGUAGCAAAAAUGGAAGUGAAAACCUUCCACGCCGCAAACCCAAGGUUUCCUGGGCAACGAAAAUCGUCCCAGGGUUAGUCGGUCCUAAGGCGAGGCCGAAGGGCGUAGUCGAUGGACAGCUGGUUAAUAUUCCAGCACUUCCGUGCGUGUUCGAUGGGGUGACGCAUCUCCCCAACCUGAGCGAUUUUCGGCUAUAGUCGUCGCGAGGGCGCAAGAAGUUCCGUAGGAAAAUCCGCGGAUAUAAUUCAAGCGCUCGGCGGAAGCUGACCGUAAGGUCGGCAAUUCAGGAGUCGGAGGUGCCAAGAAAAGCCUCUAAGAGCUAUCGCGCACGGGAUCCGUACCGCAAACCAACACAGGUGGGUGGGCAUAAAUGUGCCAAGGCGAACGAGAGAACCCUCGUUUAGGAACUCGGCAAAAUAGUGGCCGUAACUUCGGGAUAAGGCCCGGCCCCCGCAAGGGGGCCCGCAGCAAACGACUGUCAACCGACUGUUUACCAAAAACACAGGUCUCUGCUAAGCCGCAAGGCGAUGUAUAGGGGCUGAUGCCUGGCCAGUGUCAGAACGUUAAGAGGAGGGGUGAACUUCUGCUUCGGUAGAAUGUAGCUCUGAAUUCAAGCGCUGAUGAACGCCGGCGGUAACUAUGAACGGUUGUAGUUACAAGUGAGUAAACAGGAAAAAGCCAUAAAUCUGGCCAUAUGCGGGAACAUCUGAGUAUAUGCAAGUACUAGGGCCAUCUAUUGGUCCAGUAAAAAUCUUCGCAUUGCAGACAAUCCGCAGGAAAGACUUCUCCCCAUUUCAUUGGGUUUGAAGAAUCCUCAGAGACUUUACGCCGGACUUGUCCUCUAUCUAACACUGGGAUAGAGGGUAGCAAGAAGAUAAAGUCCGAUCUCACGGGCGACCGUGAGCCCAGCGACCGAACUGGGGUCCGUUCUGACGCUCCUUCUUGGAGCAAAGAGCGGAUUAACACAGGACAAUGAACCGUCCUAAGGUAGCGAAAUUCCUUGUCGGGUGAGUUCCGACCCGCACGAAUGGCAUAACGAGUUGACAACUGUCUCAACGAGGGACUCGGCGAAAUUGCAAGGGGAGUGAAGAUGCUCUCUACCCGUAGCUGGACGAAAAGACCCCGUGAAGCUUUACUACAACUUGUUAUUGGGUUUAGACCUCGCAUGUUCAGUGUAGGUGGGAGCUUCGGCGCCAAUGAGACACCACCCUUGCGUUGUUUAAAUUCUAAUCCUGUGACCUCACAGGUCGCGAAAGUAAGAUCUUCGGUUUCGACCGGAAUGUUCUUUACAUCUUUCGCGGUCGUUGCGGUCACGGGAGACAGUAGCUGGUGGGUAGUUUGACUGGGGCGGUGGCCUCCUAAAAGGUAACGGAGGCGUUUACAAAGGUUGGCUUAGCUCCGAUGGAAACGGAGCUGGACGUGCAAACGCAAAAGCCAGCUUUACUGGAAGUCCUACAAGACGACCAGUCACGAAAGUGGAAGUUAGUGAUCCGACCGUACGAAAUAGGACGGCGGAAGCUCAACGGAUAAAAGCUACUCCGGGGAUAACAGGCUGAUCAGGUCCAAGAGUCCACAUCGACGACCUGGUUUGGCACCUCGAUGUCGGCUCAUCGCAUCCUGGGGCUGGAGAAGGUCCCAAGGGUUAGGCUGUUC
This 3194-nucleotide ribosomal RNA is filed under the name Candidatus Uhrbacteria bacterium CG_4_10_14_0_8_um_filter_58_22. Its description in RNAcentral is "partial 23S ribosomal RNA". It matches the Rfam family "Bacterial large subunit ribosomal RNA", at positions 1 to 2582 of the family's 2925-position model. The record is from RNAcentral. Lineage: Bacteria; Candidatus Uhriibacteriota.